UGAUCCUGGCUCAGAUUGAACGCUGGCGGCAGGCUUAACACAUGCAAGUCGAGCGGAGAGAGGUAGCUUGCUACUGAUCUUAGCGGCGGACGGGUGAGUAAUACUUAGGAAUCUGGCUAUUAGUGGGGGACAACAUUUCGAAAGGGAUGCUAAUACCGCAUACGUCCUACGGGAGAAAGCAGGGGAUCUUCGGACCUUGCGCUAAUAGAUGAGCCUAAGUCGGAUUAGCUAGUUGGUGGGGUAAAGGCCUACCAAGGCGACGAUCUGUAGCGGGUCUGAGAGGAUGAUCCGCCACACUGGGACUGAGACACGGCCCAGACUCCUACGGGAGGCAGCAGUGGGGAAUAUUGGACAAUGGGGGGAACCCUGAUCCAGUCAUGCCGCGUGUGUGAAGAAGGCCUUAUGGUUGUAAAGCACUUUAAGCGAGGAGGAGGGUACUGGUAUUAAUACUACCAGGUACUGGACGUUACUCGCAGAAUAAGCACCGGCUAACUCUGUGCCAGCAGCCGCGGUAAUACAGAGGGUGCGAGCGUUAAUCGGAUUUACUGGGCGUAA
Molecule: ribosomal RNA, 555 nt
Filed under: uncultured bacterium
Lineage: Bacteria
Description: bacterial SSU rRNA
Rfam family: Bacterial small subunit ribosomal RNA
Source: RNAcentral